CUAAGGAGUGAAUACCAAAACAAAUCCGCAAAUCUGAUUCUGAUCGAAGUGGUAUGCAACAUCUGCACAAAAUUGACUGCGCAGCGGAACUUACCAUACGCUAAGAAUCGGAUUCUCAAGUCUCAACUCAGAGCUCACCAAGCGAGAAUCCAAAUUCCCCAGGGAAAAAAAAGGAAGAAAAAGAAUCCCCAUUUUUUUUCAUUUUAUCUACAUCUUAUAUUAUAAAUUAUUCAGAGAAAAUAUCACAAGGAAAAAUAAAGAUACCAUCCUUUUUUCUUUAAACUCUGUUGACUCGUUUAGAAAACUUUUUCCCUGCCCCCCAAACCCAAAACCCUAAUCUCAUUCUUCUCUAUGGAUCCCUCUCGCCGAGCACCGCGCUCAGCGAUCGACCCCGUCCCCAAGUUCCGCCAAGUCGGGUUCUUCACUCCUGGAGCCCCGCCCGAACGCUCUCAAUCGGGUCCACCCGACCCGACACACUCUACUCCCGUUUCCGACGUCUCACAAUCCGCCAACUCGCUCUCUCCGGUCAUGAUCCCUCCGCCGCGCCACCUCUCCGACAAUCUCGUCAUCAACGCCCGCCCCACGCUUGCGUCCCCUCUCCGCGCAGAUUCCCUCGCCGGUGGCGGAGUUAGCAGCUUCGGCGAUUUCUUCCCCGCUCCGAUGUCGCCGGCGACUCCAGCUUCUUCUUCGUACUCCAGCAGGAUGGCCGCCGGCGAAGGGAGCUUCUUUGAGCGCCAUGGUGGCGGAGGCGAUAAGGGGAACAAUGCCGGCAAAGUGGCGUCGUCAUUUCCCCGCGGAGGAUUCGACCUGACGGCGAUGAAGAAGGUUAGUGGCAUUGGCGGUGGCGGUGGUAGUGGCGUUGGUGUUCCGGCAAGUGAGCUGACCACCGUGUCCGUGGUGAAUGAUUCGCUAGCGAUUCAUGAAAAAGAGAAAGCAAACAGAGGAGGAGGGUCAGCUGUGGAAGCAAAAGACCAAUCUACUGGUUCAAAACAACAAAAACCAAAGACCACAAAAGCUGAAAGGCGAGCUCUUCAAGAAUCUCAACGUGCCGCAAAGGCUGCUGCAAAAGCUGAAGGCAACAAGGCAUCUGGAGCUGCAACUUCAGUGAAUGCAAAACCAGCCAAAGCUGCCAAGCCCACACCAAAAGUUGAUAAUGCUGCAGUUGCAGCAUCUGAGAAGAAGGGUGGUGAUUGUCCUCCAGAAAAGGAUAGAAAGAAGGAUGUUCCUCAACCACGAAUGCAAUAUGAUGACAAGAGUCGAGUGGAGAAAGCUAAGCGACGAGCUGUGGUGAAACAAACUGAAGCUAGGAACAGAGUUGAGUUGUUCAGGCAUUUACCACAAUAUGAACACGGAAGUCAGCUUCCAGAUCUUGAGUCAAAGUUUUUUCAUCUGGAUCCUGUACAUCCAGCUGUUUAUAAGGUGGGUUUGCAGUAUUUGUCUGGCGAUAUAUGUGGUGCUAAUGCUCGUUGUAUUGCAAUGUUUCAAGCAUUUCAAGAAGCCAUAAAAGACUAUAGAGUUCCACCUGAGAAGACUCUUGUGAGAGACUUAACAGCAAAAAUAGGUAGUUAUGUUUCAUUUCUAAAUGAGUGUAGGCCUAUUUCAAUCAGCAUGGGAAAUGCAAUUAGAUUUCUCAAAAGUCGGAUAGCCAAGCUACCUUUGACCCUGUCUGAGUCAGAAGCCAAAGUUUCUCUCCAGUCAGAUAUUGAGCGUUUUAUAAGUGAGAAGAUUGUACUUGCCAACAAGGUGAUAGUCAAGCAUGCUGUCACCAAAAUAAGAGAUGGUGAUGUUCUUCUAACUUAUGGAUCAUCAUCGGCAGUUGAAAUGAUACUGUUACAUGCACAUGAAUUGGGAAAACAGUUUCGUGUUGUUGUAGUUGAUUCUCGUCCAAAGCUUAGAGGACAGCUUUUACUUCGGAGGCUUCUGGAGAAGGGUCUUAGCUGUGAAUACACUCAUAUAAAUGCUGUUUCAUACAUAAUGCAUGAAGUUACCCGAGUUUUUCUGGGUGCUUCGUCAGUGUUGUCUAAUGGAACGGUAUAUUCAAGGGUUGGGACUGCAUGUGUUGCAAUGGUUGCUCAUGCGUUCCGAGUACCUGUCAUAGUAUGUUGUGAGGCCUAUAAAUUUCAUGACAGGGUACAGCUGGAUUCGAUAUGCUCAAAUGAACUUGGUGAUCCAGAUAUAAUUUCAAAUGUUCGGGGUAGAGAGGAUGUCAACUACUUGGAUGGUUGGGCCAAUGUUGAAAAUCUACAACUUUUAAAUCUGAUUUAUGAUGCAACACCUUCAGAUUAUGUUUCAAUGAUAGUCACAGAUUAUGGCAUGGUGCCCCCCACAAGUGUUCCUGUAAUUGUAAGAGAAUAUGGGAGAGAGCAGGUCUGGAUUUAAAUUAUGCAAUUGUGGAUCGGCUCAAUUUGGUUGGCUUCCAAAAUCUAUUUGAAAUCAUGGAAAAUAUGCGGAAGCGCAUGAAUACGUGGUUGGUACUACCAUUAAGCGGAGUUUUUCCAGCAAUGCAAACUACAGCUUACUUGCUGACCUUCAUUUGAAGACAGGAAAUGUUCUACUUGCGCAGAAGAUUCUCUUCGAGAUGAUGGAUAAGGGUCUUAAACCAAAUUUUCCAGUGUACAUGAAGAUAAGGAAGCGUCUUCAAAAGAAAAAUGAAAUGGAUUUGUCUAUGGAAUUAUCAAGAAGAUACUUGAACUUGAUUGAAAAAUGAAGAACUAUUGUGACAUUCAUGUCAUGUGAUGCUUUAGUGUCAUUCAGCAUUGGCUCAGUAUUGACUUUGCAUUCAGAGAGGAUGGCUGAAGAUUGUUGCUUCAUCAAUAUUUUCCUUGCAUUCUGGUACGCGUGAUUUCAAUUCAGGUACCUGUCAAACAAGGAAUGGCUGGAUCUACUAUUGCAUCCACCAGGUACUCAUCAAGGAUCCCCAGAUUAUGUUUUCGGAUAUUUAAUUGACACUAAACCUGACUUAAUGACCUUUUCCUCACCACCGAUGAUGACUAUCUGGGUCUGCUGUUAUCUGUGAAUCACCGGGUUUCUUGAGUAUAUCUUAUGGAGCAUGAAUUUUUUACAUAUCCAGUUAUCCUUAAAUUUUUUUAUCAAUUUUUUUCCCUCUUGCUUGAAAGUAACUAUAAGAUUGAAAUUGGGGGCAAAAAUAAUUUUAUGUAUACCUGUGUUGCUCGGAUUGUAUCAGUAAGAAUAAAUUGCUCUUGUUAA
This is an RNA transcript of Arachis duranensis, 3207 nucleotides long. RefSeq lists it as uncharacterized. The record is from RefSeq and is a predicted model, not a curated record. The transcript is spliced from 8 exons. Lineage: Eukaryota; Viridiplantae; Streptophyta; Magnoliopsida; Fabales; Fabaceae.